Molecule: long non-coding RNA, 1812 nt
Filed under: Monomorium pharaonis (pharaoh ant)
Lineage: Eukaryota; Metazoa; Arthropoda; Insecta; Hymenoptera; Formicidae
Description: uncharacterized LOC114254444
Source: RNAcentral
GUCAUGAUAAAAACAGCGAAUGUUUGUAAAUUCAUGUUUCAAGGUAUAUCUUCACUGGAGUACUGGAUGGUACUGGAGAUGAUACGAAUUCGCCAGUCAACUAGUCAAAUCGAACUAGUCGCUCUUCGAUGAUACCGACAAUUUGCUAUACAUUUGUUGACAUCGAAUAAAACACAUUACGCAUUCAACAUCAUUACUUAUACAAUCAGUUGAGGACAUUUAAAAAAGGAAACGGUCAGCAAUAAUGAUACAUUAUAUUAUUGUUUGCAAUAUAGCAGCAAGAUGGCAACAACAAAUGAUUGAUAACAAAUUAAUGCUGACAUGUUGCUAUCAAUUUGUCAUUGUUAAAAAUAGAAUUCAUAUAAGUUCAACCUAACAGACAUAAUGCUGUUUCACCUUGUUCAAAGUUUAAAUUAGUUGCUGCACGAUUGUUGGCAACAUAAUUGCACCAUCAAGACAUUUGGCUAUCUAAGAUUUUGUUGAUAUGCAACGUAACCACGUUGUUAAAACUUUUAUAUACUGGUGUCCAUGGUAUACCAUGGAAUUUGUGAUAAUAAUAGCCAUGAUAUUUAGCAGUGUUAUAUAGUGAUAAAAAUGGAAUACUUUGGCAAAAAAGUAAUCAAUAAAUUAAAAAAUAAAACAUUCUCUAAUAUUAUAUUAUAUUCUUUUAAAAUAAUUCUUUAACUUAUUUGAAUUAUUCUUAUUUUGUUUCGAUUAUUGAAUAAUCUAAUUUCAUUAUCUUCACUUUCAAUGAAAGCAAAUUAAAAGAAAGUAUACUCAAUUUUUAAAAAUCAAGCUUUACUAAUAAAAAUUUAUAUUGAUUAUUAAUUGUUAAUUCGUGUAAACAAAAGAUGCUUAAUAUUUAAGUUCAUAUCUUUUAUAUUAUCAGAAUAAAGAGAUUUGUUGAUUGUAAUAAAAAGAUGUUCAAGAAAUAUUACAAUAUCCUACUUUAUAAUGAUGCGAAAAGUUAAAUCCUUUAUUAUAUAAGUUUUGUAUGUGAUUAUAAUAUACAAGUAAAAUAUACUAGUUAGUGAAAUAUAGAUUCUGUAAGAAUUACAUUAAGGAUUUUUGUAAAAGACAAUGAUAUACUAUAUAGUGAAAAAAAUCGAUGUAUAUUCAUUUUAACAUAUCAACACAAUUAGGAAAGUAUUCGUUAACAAAAAUAAAGAUUGGCGUUCUCUUUGUUAAAGCACUAUGUAGAAGUAUUUAUUCCCUGCGAUGUUUUCUCAUAAUUAUAUAUACAAUUAGAUACAAAAAUAUAACAAAGAUUGGCGAAAAAAUAAUUUUCAGUUCCAUCAAUCGAAUAGAUACUCUCUGCGAUUCAGAAAAAGAAUGGAAUUUUAAUCUUAAAUUGAUCUGUUGUCUUUUAAAAUAUAUAUCGUAAGAUCUGAAGAUAACACGAUUGACAGAGGGUGCAUAGUAAAUCAAUUUAGUCCAUGGAUUCAAACGGGAUAAAAUUUUGGUCAGAUUUAUUCGAAGAGAUCGUUCGUACUUUCUUAAGCUAACAAAUACAAAUCGUUUACAAGACGUUAAAGAGAACGUAAAUCAUCAUGUUCGUUGCAUGCUGCCUUUUAUUUUAUUUUUUAUUCUUUUUUUUAUGUCUUUAUAUAGAGUCUCAAAUCAACGUAUAAUUCCAUGUGCGUGUAAAAGCACACCAAUUAAUUUAUUGGAUUGACCAAUUGAAUUAAUUUGUGUUCAUGUAAGCCCUUAAUAUAAUAGAUAAUUAAUGUGAAAAAUAAGAUCUUGCUAAUACUGUUCUCUAAUAUAAAGCAUAGAAGCAUUGUGUGACAAAUUAAAGAUCCUAUGGGCUAA